Molecule: long non-coding RNA, 408 nt
Organism: Lytechinus pictus (painted urchin)
Lineage: Eukaryota; Metazoa; Echinodermata; Echinoidea; Temnopleuroida; Toxopneustidae
Exons: 3
Source: RefSeq, a predicted model, not a curated record
UCUCUUAUCUUUGACUCUUCACUCCUUUCUUAUAGCUGACUCUUCUGUUUGAGGAAGAGUCGUUUUUUGUUUUUAGCAAGACAUCACUCCCACGUAACGACUUAGUAUAGCUCUAAGUGGUCUUAGCUGUGUAAAGCCUUCUUCCAGCUCACUUGAUAUACCUAGGAUCAAUAAUUCAUCCAGGCAGUCAGCAAUCGUCAAGACUCAUAAAAUAAAGAUAUUCAUUGGAAGAUAAUAAAACUGGAGUUGUGCAAAUAAUGUUGGAGGUUUAUCAGAUCCAAUUAAGAGCUGGGAGUUUAAUGAAGUGCUCUAUCAUAAGAGAACAAGCAUUGUUUGUACGUUAUUCAUAUCGGUUGAUGGGAUAGCCGUGGUACAACAUUGAUGUCCUCUACACCAUUUCCUUUUGGC